RNAcentral lists this transfer RNA (73 nucleotides) under Phytohabitans suffuscus. Its description in RNAcentral is "tRNA-Arg". It matches the Rfam family "tRNA". Rfam says of the family: Transfer RNA (tRNA) molecules are approximately 80 nucleotides in length. Lineage: Bacteria; Bacillati; Actinomycetota; Actinomycetes; Micromonosporales; Micromonosporaceae. The record is from RNAcentral.
GCCCUCGUAGCGCGGCGGAAGCGCGUGGCCCUCCGAAGGCCAAGGCCGCUGGUUCGAAUCCAGCCGGGGGCGC